This is an RNA transcript of Arabidopsis thaliana (thale cress), 324 nucleotides long. RefSeq lists it as uncharacterized. Lineage: Eukaryota; Viridiplantae; Streptophyta; Magnoliopsida; Brassicales; Brassicaceae. The record is from RefSeq. The transcript has a single exon.
CUAAUAAUGGUAGGGGCUGCGCGAACGCAAACCCCCUCUGCCACAAAUAAUGACGUAGGCUCUUCCUCAAGGGAAGACCUUAAGCUAAGCACCCCAGACAAAGUGCAGGCCGGUCACUAGCCUAGGCCACUCGUCAUCUUGAUCACGAGUAGACCCCGUCCAGGUAAGUGAUUUGCUCGUUCCAGCCACUUCUUUAUUUAUACUCCUGUGUCCCAGUCAUUAUUUCUAGGCUAAGCAAUGUGGGAUUAUUAUCACUUACAAACAUCCUGCCGUUCGAAGUUACUGGUAUCAAACAACGUGCUGGUCUCUUACAUAUGAGUUUCU